CCCGCCAUAAAUCAAGCCCAGGACAGAGCGCCGUUCCAGGAACGCAGCCGGCCAGCCCUGGCUUUCUGUGGGAAAGCAGCACACGCCCCGCUUCAGCGCCGAGGAGAGCCUGUGACGCGGCGGAGCAGCCCCCGGGAGAUGUCCCUUGAUGAGGUCUGGUGGAGCAGCCCUUCCAGCUACAGCAUGCACCAGAAGGGCGAGAAGAGCUGCACGGGUGGAGGCAGACAUGACUGGGCUCACCACCGGGAUAUCGGCGCCAGGCGAGAUGUCUUCACUUAGAUCCAGAGCAGGACGGGCACGGCUGGCAGGUCACGAGCCACUGCAGCCUCUCUGUGGGCUUUGAAGGGCCGUGGAGCAGUUAAUGCUGUGGACGUGGAGGAAUCCCCUUGGGCAUCCAGGCAGGGCAGUGAAUGGGGCAUCUUCAGAGCUAUUAUUUUUGAACCCCAACACAAGAAAAGUGAUGACCGAAUGAGCUGUUUGCUUACCCAGGCAGCACAAAGCCUGAGGAGGUGGAAAAGCACCUUCCUGGGAAGAAAAAGGAGCACAAGAAGGAGGCCAACACCAGAAGGAAAGGGGUGAGCGGGUCAGAAGUGGGCUCAGG
RNAcentral lists this long non-coding RNA (601 nucleotides) under Crocodylus porosus (Australian saltwater crocodile). Its description in RNAcentral is "lncRNA (ENSCPRG00005004439.1)". The record is from RNAcentral. Lineage: Eukaryota; Metazoa; Chordata; Crocodylia; Crocodylidae.